Molecule: ribosomal RNA, 595 nt
Filed under: Bougainvillia sp. BFLA3826
Lineage: Eukaryota; Metazoa; Cnidaria; Hydrozoa; Anthoathecata; Bougainvilliidae
Description: partial large subunit ribosomal RNA
Rfam family: Bacterial large subunit ribosomal RNA
Source: RNAcentral
AGCCCUUGUUAACCUCAAAGGUGUGACCUGCCCAAUGGUUUUAAAGUAAAAAAUAAUAAUCUAUUUUAAUAAAACUUAAAGGACGCAGUAUCCUGACUGUGAUAAUGUAGCAUAAUCACUCGCCACUUAAUUGGUGGAUAGUAUGAAUGGUUAAACGAAUAUUACACUGUCUCCUAAAGAAAACCCAUAAAACUAGAAUAAUAGUAAAGAUACUAUUUAAAACUGUAAGACGAAAAGACCCUAUAGAGCUUGACUAUAAUCUAUAUUAAUAAAAAAGAAUGAAACCUCUAAAAUUAUAUAGAUUGGUAGUUUAGUUGGGGCGACUGUCUUUUAAAAUAAACAAAGACAAGCAAUGUUAAUAUUAAACUUAUUGUAUAAAAAAUAAAUUUAACAAUUAUAAUAAUAGGCUAUAAUGACCCAUUAAUAUUAAGAAGAAAAAUUAAUGAUUAAUAAAUAAAAGCUACCUUAGGGAUAACAGGAUAAUUUUACUCUAGAGAUCUUAUCGAAAGUAAAGUUUGUCACCUCUAUGUUGAAUUGAGAUAUCCUAAUAGUGCAGAAGCUAUUAAAGGUAGGUCUGUUCGACCUUUAAAAUCUU